ACAAUUUUGAGACGUGUCUAUGUUUAGGAAAAAUUGUUUAAAUAUGUAUUUCUAAGUUCUUCGUAAUCCCAAAAACAUCACCUCUUCAGAUCAGACACGCAAACCACUGGGCGCAGCCAUUUUGAAGCUUCCUCCACCUCCUUCCACUGAGGAGCAGUCCGUCUUUCAUAUUCUGGUGGAUUAAUAGGUGGAAUAUCAGAGGGAAUCGACAGGCUCCCCUCUUCUUGGAUCAGCAUAUCUCUUCAAGAUAUCUCUCCAACUCUGACUUAGCUGUUGGGUGCUGAUAUCCUGUCACUGGCUUUCACUCGUCUGACUUGACCGGCUUCAUAAGAAGAACUGAUCAAUGCAAAGCCCCUGCCACUUCUCCUCAAGCAUCUCUUUCUCCCUUGAUGAUUCUUGCCACCUUGCUACAGCCACAGUUACAAACCUGGAGUGCCACAUCUUGUCCCAGAGCUCUCACUGCAGAUUUUGAGCUGCACAAUGGGGUUGUCCAUUGUAAAGUAGCAUUAGUUCUCAUGUCCAUUUCCUUUCCUAAGUCAUUAACUGGGUUAUACAAGCUUGAGUAAUUUUCCACCCCCACUCUCGCUGAGUCUCUGGGUAUUUUUCUUUUUACUGUAUUAAAAGCCUCAAGUGGGUGUCUGCAGCAUCUUGUUCAAUCUGAAAACGCAGAGAUAUUGCUAACUAUCUCCUCCUGUCAGCUCUCUCUCCAAGAUGUCACAUGGUCUUUUCCUUGUCGCCAGCUGCCAUAUUCACAGCAGCCAUUGGAUUUAUUUAAGAGCUUCCUGAUUUUUAUUAUGUGAGAGUAGCUGUUAUUUACUUCAUGCCAAUAUUGGAAAAAUAACAAAUAAAAAGUUCUGGAGUUAAAGCCAAAAAUCUUGAAAUUAGCUUUCACAUUUAAACCCUUACAGAAUAUAUUAUCUGCUCCAACUAAUGAGCUGCAAGCUGUUUGGAAACAGGCUAAUGUAGUCCCCCCUCAUAAGCACUUGCAAACAAUUAUGUUCUCAGUUCUCCCACUAGUACUUGAGAUGUUUGAAACACAUAAGUAAUAAUUCAUUGUACCCUUUCUCAAUCUUGUUUUAGUUCCAGACACGGCCUCAGCAUUCUUCAAGGUCACUAAUCACAUUAUUUCAACACAUAUGUCUUUCCUGUCUGAUGAGGUUUAUUUAGAGGGCUAUAAAAGCACUGGGUCUGAUUAAACAUAAGCUACUUUUUAUUUACUUUAUACUGGGUGGAGACAGAGGCUCUUGCUUUGAAAAGUAUCCCAAAAAUAUUUGCAGGCAGU
This is a long non-coding RNA of Acipenser ruthenus (sterlet), 1282 nucleotides long. RefSeq lists it as uncharacterized. NCBI's taxonomy places the organism in Eukaryota, Metazoa, Chordata, Actinopteri, Acipenseriformes, Acipenseridae. The record is from RefSeq and is a predicted model, not a curated record. The transcript has 3 exons.